GGAAUAUUAAUGUUUAAUAUAUGGGUAUUAUCUAAUUAUGUUUUAUUAUAUAUUCUAUAUAAAUACCUAAUAUAUAGGUAUCUAAUAUAUAAUCAAUAAUUAUAAUCAUAUAUAUAAUCAAUUGAUGCUAGAUGUUAUCUAUCUAUUUAUAUAUAUAAAGAGAAGGAUCAGAAGAUAAAUGAAUUUCGAAAUGCAUGGACCAACUCUUUGCAGUGGGUAUGGAUGCUUCUGUUUUAAACCUGAAGAUUCAAACAUGCACUCUUAGUGACUUCAUUUUUCUGCCAGCACUGGGAUUUUCAAGUAGAGAGUCAAUGAAACCAGCUUGGCAUUGGGUUACUGAAAUGUAUCCACAAAGGAUGGACAACCCCAUGGCACUCCCUCUUCUGCCUUCUCUGGAUAUACUCUUUCCUAGGCCAGCACCAUCACGGACCCUGACUUUGCUUCAAGAAAUGCAGCGUCUCCCUCACAGAAGUUUAUUCACUCCAUUGAGAACCUACAGUGGAGUGUGCUGUCUGCACGUGGCUGAGAUACCCAGGCAGGACUCUGUGGUACAAGGACAGGACAUGUUGUUAAGAGGACAAACUGCGUGUGAAAUGGAUACGUUGCAGAGGCUGGAUUCUACGGAGCAGAUGGGCUUCCUAGGUUCUCUCAGGAUCACUUAUACUUUUGACCAGCUUUGAGAAAGGAUUGAUCUGCCAUUGAUGUUGAUUCUGCCAUGACAUCAGCUGUCUGGGUUUUACUGAUACAUGCAAGACAUAUAUCAUGGGCAUAUUCAGAUUUCUGUUCUACUUCACUCUUAAUAG
Molecule: long non-coding RNA, 803 nt
Filed under: Equus caballus (horse)
Lineage: Eukaryota; Metazoa; Chordata; Mammalia; Perissodactyla; Equidae
Description: lncRNA (ENSECAG00000031149.3)
Source: RNAcentral